RNAcentral lists this ribosomal RNA (253 nucleotides) under uncultured bacterium. RNAcentral describes it as "partial 16S ribosomal RNA". It matches the Rfam family "Bacterial small subunit ribosomal RNA", at positions 524 to 776 of the family's 1533-position model. The record is from RNAcentral.
UACGUAGGCAGCAAACGUUGUUCGGAAUUACUGGGCGUAAAGAGUGUGUAGGCGGCUUUGUAAGUUUGGUGUGAAAUCUCCCGGCUUAACUGGGAGGGUGCGCCGAAUACUGUGAGGCUAGAGUACUGGAGAGGAAAGCGGAAUUCCUGGUGUAGCGGUGAAAUGCGUAGAUAUCAGGAGGAACACCGGUGGUGUAGACGGCUUUCUGGACAGUAACUGACGCUGAGACACGAAAGCGUGGGGAGCAAACAGG